UACAGAGGUCUCAAGCGUUGUUCGGAUUCAUUGGGCGUAAAGGGUGCGUAGGCGGCGGGGUAAGUCGGAUGUGAAAUCUCAGGGCUCAACCCUGAAACUGCAUUCGAUACUGCCUUGCUUGAGGACUCGAGAGGAGAUUGGAAUUCACGGUGUAGCAGUGAAAUGCGUAGAGAUCAGGAGGAACACCCAUGGCGAAGGCAGCUCUCUGGUCGACCUCUGACGCUGAGACGCGAAAGCGUGGGGAGCGAACGGG
This 253-nucleotide ribosomal RNA is filed under the name uncultured bacterium. RNAcentral's name for it is "partial 16S ribosomal RNA". It matches the Rfam family "Bacterial small subunit ribosomal RNA", at positions 524 to 776 of the family's 1533-position model. The record is from RNAcentral.